Fukomys damarensis (Damara mole-rat) is the source of this 3467-nucleotide long non-coding RNA. RefSeq lists it as uncharacterized. The record is from RefSeq and is a predicted model, not a curated record. The transcript has 3 exons. Lineage: Eukaryota; Metazoa; Chordata; Mammalia; Rodentia; Bathyergidae.
AGGGGGAGCUGGAGUUCGCAGGCCACCAAGCCCCGGGCAGGUGUUGUUCCAGAAUUUGCUCACCAGGUGCUCGUGGUGACCGAUUUUGGGCCUGAUUUCCAUGUGACAAAUGAAGACACAGACUCAAGCUGCCCAGGGCCGGCUGGCCAGGGCUAUGGGUGGUGGAGGUUUAAAAACAGCACCAAUGUUCCAACUUUUCAUUUCUACUUUUUCCGUCUCUGGAUUCCUAUUCUUCCCACCUACCUGCCUUCUGUGAGGCCAUUACUGCCGCGACAAUUUCACCACUGUACAAUUGGGAUAAAGGACGAAGGCGAGACACUAAGUGGAGGAGUUUAAACAACAUCUUGGCUCUCGUCUGACCUCCUGACUUUGAGUUCCAGCCCCGCUGUCAUCUGAUGACUCCACACCCUUGGUCAAAUGGCCUGACCUCUCUCGACUUGACCCACAAGUUCUGAAAGACGCCCACAUUCUUCGGCUGGUGGCCACAUCCUCCAUCUACAAAGCCUGCAAGGGUGGCAGAGUCCUUUCCAGGCUGUGAUCUCAGAUUUGCUCACUUCUUCCAUCAUCACAUCCUCUCUCUGACCCACCCAGGGAAGCUUCUUUGAUAUUAAAGACUCAUAUGACCACAUAGUCUACCUGGUACCCUCCGGUACCCCUGCCAAGUGCCUCUUAGCUCAUCUGCAAAGUCCCUGCUCACAGAAAUUCCACCACAUGAGGCAUGACAUGGAGUUCGUUCUUGCAGAAGCGCUGGCUCUCUCUAUGUGUAUCCGGACUGUGACUGAAGCCGCUCGCCCCUCUUCAGUAGGCUCUGAGCUGGAGGCUGUCCUGCGUUCACACAUUGCAAGUUGCCUCAUGAAGCCCCUUGGUUACAACUGGGCUCUGAUAUCAUCCCCGAGAGUCUUCAUUUCUGACCAUGUUUCUGGAAGUGAUCUCAUUUGGUAGAAACAAGUCACCUGGCAUCUCCCUUCCCACCCCUGCCAGAGACUGCUCCCUCACCUAGCUAAACAACCCCAGGUUUCCAACACAUUUCCUCCAAACUCCAUUCUCCAGCCCUCCAGAUUCUAAGCUGACUAGAAGCUAUCACCAAAGAACAAUGGUGAAGUUUAGUGUCUCUGACAAAUGACUGGCUGCCUGGGAUCAACAUGUCCCGGCACUGCAGGGUCUGGGGUUCAUUUUUUCAUCCUCUGGGUUCAGUUUUCUCAUCUGUAAAAUGGGAUAAUAACUGUGCCUGUCCAGAGGGUUGUCAUGAAAAUGAAACGAGAGGAACCAUGUGAAGCCCAGUGCUUAGCAUUUGGUGAACACACUCUGCACGCUAUGGUGAUGGCUGCCGAAACAAAGCCUAUGGGCAAUUUCCCUCAUCCACGUCUUACUUGGUCCUGCAUCACGUCAUUAUAGACUCUUGGCAAUUCCCUGUCUCCUUCAGACUUUCUGCCCUUUGGAUCCAUCUUCAUGUUUCCCACACAGUUUUCACUGUCUCCCAGGGAUGGUCACUUCUUGGUGACUGUCUGUGGGUACCCUCACCUUGCUCAUUUGCCAUGGGACUGGCUCCAGCCAAUGGGAAGCCCUGCUUCAGGCUGAAGUGUCGAACAGCUGGUGCCCAUCACCGAAGCAGCAGGGGCCCAGACCAUUUUUUGUGCAUGGUAUGGAGACCCACGUGUCACACAUGCUGUUGGUAGAGAGGCCUCUGCCAGCCUGGGUUCCUUAAUGGCUACAUUGGCAGUGCUCCCCAGACUUACUUGGGCUUCAACUAGAAAGAAACUUUUGUGUUACAUCCGCUCCAUUUGAGGGUUGACUUGCUGCUGCAGCGUAAUCUCACCUAGCCCUGACUAAUAAAUCACCUUUGCUUUUAGAUUGGCAACCUGCUGUUUGCCAAAUUAUAGCAGGGUUCUGCCAUUUGAACCUUUUUUAUGUGUACAAUUCAGUGACACUGAGAACAUUGUAACCAUCACACUGUUUCCAGACCUUUUCAGCAUCCUGGGUAGAAACACUACGUGGCAAUCUGCUAUUGACCCUCUUUGGGCCAGCUUACAUUCCUGAACUCUCCUGUAAGGACUCCCAGUUUACCCUGCUCUAGAACCCUCUCAGAGUCAUCCUUCUGAUUGCCCUUUUGUGCUGGAACUGGCUGUGUCCAGUAGAAGAUCUGGCCACAACCAACAACCCCGAAGAAUCCUUCUGGGAUUACCAAGAGAUUCCGGGAACUUAUGUCAUUUCCCCCUUUAGCAUUACUGGACUGUUAUCCAGGACACCAUGACAGAAGACACCUCUAGAUGUCUUUUAGUUUCCUAAAUAUGCCACUAACUUCUCACAGGCAUUGGUACCUCCUCUGCAAUACUUUUGCUCCCAUUACCACCCCUGCAGCCUCCUUGCCUAACAAUCUUUGGGUCCUGAAGGAUAAGACACUUCCUCCAGAAGCUGUCUGGGGUUUCCCCAGCUCAGAGCCACCUGUUUUACAGUCACUCCAGUGUCCGUCCAAAACCACCAUAGGUGACGGACAGAGCAUCUGAGACGCUCUGUUAUCGUGUUCUCUGCUAAGCACAAACUUCCUGAUGACAGAGGUGCAGUUGUCUUGGUCACUCUACUCUCAUUUUCAAAUAUAGUGCCUGGUGACGAACAGGUGCUUAAAAAGGGUCUCCUGAUUAAUGCUUUUGUAAAUAUGAGGAAGGACACUUCGGAGAGUGACCUUCCUUGGUACGAGUCAGGGAGCUCUCACAACAAAGUCCCAAACCUGGGGUAGGAGAGGCUUCUCCUGUGAGGCUGUGCACAGCUCACACUGAGAGGAACAGUUCCCUAUAAACUGGUCUCUGAGGAGUACAGCUCCAACUCAAAGACACAAAAGAAGUCAGAUCCUUGGCUUCUUGAUUCUGCCAUACAUACACACUGGCUUUCUACAUGUUGGUUCCAUGUUUGUGAGCUAGAACCAAAUGAAGUAUCUGCAAAGACUGAUGGCAUGGAAGCUUAGCCCAAGACCUCACAAUCGCAGGAUGCUCCCUCUCUGAGGGGAAGAGACUCAGCGCUGGAUCAUUCUGGCUUCUGCUCUGGCUCUUACCAAGAGAAAUUUCAUACAGUGAAGUCUACUUGGAAGACACUUUCUACCCACACCUCUGAGUCAACAAAUGUCAGAAGCUCCCCGAGGGUUCCCCUCGAUGGCACGCGCUUUUAUGGCAAAGGUAAUAACUCAUCACAUGCUCUUGGACAGGGACUUGGAAAAGCAAAGCUUUUAAUAAACCAAAAGGAACAAUUUUGGUAUUAAUUUUCUGGGUUGUAGUAGAAAUGAAAACAACUCAACCGAUAUAAAGAACAUGGAUAACGAGAUAAUAUUACACCCAAGCAUUGGCUUGUGAUUUCUUCUUCUGGCUUACCUUUUUCGUUGUACAUGUACAUGUAUACACGCCAUCUCUUAGGGCUAACGAGAACGCGAAUACAUAUAAGAAGUUUAUGAUUUUAUUUUAUUUCUAAACAAAAUGAGU